RNAcentral lists this transfer RNA (79 nucleotides) under Prolixibacteraceae bacterium. RNAcentral describes it as "tRNA-Asp". It matches the Rfam family "tRNA". Rfam says of the family: Transfer RNA (tRNA) molecules are approximately 80 nucleotides in length. Lineage: Bacteria; Pseudomonadati; Bacteroidota; Bacteroidia; Marinilabiliales; Prolixibacteraceae. The record is from RNAcentral.
GAUAUUAUUUUUCAGUUUGGUUAGAAUAUCGGCCUGUCAUCCCGAGUACUCGGGACGGGUUCGAGUCCCGUUCGUCUCG